Molecule: non-coding RNA, 45 nt
Filed under: Schistosoma mattheei
Lineage: Eukaryota; Metazoa; Platyhelminthes; Trematoda; Strigeidida; Schistosomatidae
Source: RNAcentral
AUCCAACUAACGAGCCCCAAACAGGACGAAAUGCGCGUCCUGGAU